Balaenoptera ricei (Rice's whale) is the source of this 2600-nucleotide long non-coding RNA. RefSeq lists it as uncharacterized. The record is from RefSeq and is a predicted model, not a curated record. The transcript is spliced from 2 exons. NCBI's taxonomy places the organism in Eukaryota, Metazoa, Chordata, Mammalia, Artiodactyla, Balaenopteridae.
UUCGUUACCUGACAUGGUGUCAUCUAAUGCAGAAGUUGCUGCGGGUCACACUGUGGGGCUGCCAGUGAUGACGGGCUAAAUCCUGCCAGGACCCCUUUCCUGUGUGGCGGCUGGCCUGAGAGAGCAGUGCAGUGUGCUCCAGAGCUGGGCAGAGCUGGGAACUGAGUGAGGAUCAGAUCCCUCACUGGGGUUCAGAAGUGUGUCGCACAGCAGCCUGCCAGCCAGCUGGGAAUGGGACACACCCAGCUUACCACUGAAGCUGAGAUGGAGGUUUGAGCCUGGAAGACUUAACUUCAGGAGAAGGAAGGAAAGAUUGUGGAAAGAAUGAAAAGAGGGAAGGAGAAGAGAAAAAAGAGAAUUUAAAAAAAAUCUCCUGCACUUGCUCUGGGCUGGGUGCACACAUUUUCUCAUCAACGCUCACCGCAGCUGCAGGAGGAGAGUGCUGUUAUUACUCCCAGGACAUGCAGACAUAAAUGGGAAGUACACUGGGUCGCCCAGCGAGGGUUCUAACUCCCACCUACCUGGCUGCAGGGUCUGGGUGCUGCGUGGGAAGGAAGAAGGUGAGAUGGAGGGGACAGAGGACAGAUGUUGGCAGCAAGAUACACAGAGAGACCAGCUCCUGGCUGCUCGGCACGGAGGAUGGUUCCUGGGUUCACAGGGCUGGAAACGAGAGCAACGAGGGGAUGGAGUGUCAGGUCCCCCAGGGUGAAAGAGGGCACUUCUUUAGCAUCUAGGGUGAGGGCUCCAGACAACCAUCUAAUGUUUUCUCUGGAUUCUUCUCCCUGGAAACAUGUGCUUUGUAAGUUGCACUCUUUCUUUUGAUGUCUGUCUUCUCUCUGUUUAUUGACCUGUUUUCUUGGAGCUGCUAAGAAGGGCCGUGGCCUGUGGCCUCUUUUCCUCUGAGUGGAACCAGGAAUUGGGAACAAUGGGAGCAAGACGGGAGGGGCCUGUAAGGCCUGCGGGUGGCCAGGAGAAUGCUCAGGGCCUCGUGGGAAUCUGGCCCACCCACGGCGCCCUUCCAUCAGUGGAGCUUUCCCUAUUAACCGCAGACCCAGAGGCGUGUCAGCAGACCCACGUCCUCUGCAAUUUCCGUGGGCCCAAAUGUUUCUCCUGAGGCCCGUGUCUUUGCCAGAAUGGGCAAAGGAUCCUGUGGCCGGAGGGAUAAUCGGAGAUGUGUGGGCGGGGCAGAUGUCCACAUCUGACAAGAGCAGCAGUUUAAGCAGCCUGGAGAAAAUUUCAGUCAGGCAAGGAGACUUCUGUAUCAAUCUCCCGCUGUUCCUUGGCCAUAACUUCAUGCUGGAUAUUGCUCAACAGUCCCACCAGUCACACGGAGCCCCAUCCCAAAACCAUGUGGAAACGAAAUCUUAUCUUCACCCUGCUGCCUGGGAAGCCUGCUUUCGGCCUCCGGGCCGGGUUCUUCCCGCUUUCUCGGGGGGUUAAGGAGGCUGCCAUGGCCGUCAGGCUGACCUGCAGCCUCUCCCCGCUCUCUCCUCUGCUGAGUGUUUAGCACCUGGACCUGCAUCUGGUCUUGCUGUUUUCCAAGGACGUGCACAGGCCUGAGAGGAAACGGUCAGCCUGGAGGGAAAUCAGGUAGAGGGUAGGUGCCUGGACACCCCUGCAGAUGGCAGGGAGGCCCACCAUCUGACUGCCUCCAUCUCAGGAGGACAAGAUUGAUGCAAAAGCCUGAGGAAGACUGGAGACCCAGGGCAAAGGAAAAAGGAUUACUGUACUGAAGAAUUCUGCCUGCUGGUGGUGGAACUGCUCUGGGAGAGAGCCAGGCUGCAGGGGAAGGUGCUAGUUAUCUCCAGGCUUACACAGUACAGAGUGUACUGCUUGAGGGGCAGACACUCCUCAGAUUCCAGCAGGGCUGCCCUGAAGAUGCUGGGACAAACUGGUUGAGUUUGUCCAGUAUGUGCCACGUGCACAACACCCAAAGAAUCCCACCUUAUCCUUUAAGAUCAUCAAGGUUGGCUCAAAUACCCAUUCCAAGACCGGUGGAAAGUACAAGUCACCCCCAAAGAUAUCUGCAAAUUCUAAGAAGGCUUGUUCAUGGGCAGCCUUGGCUCUGAGUUCCUGCUUCCCCUGAAUUAGUUCCAUGUCUGACUCUGCUCCCUGUUCUGUAGCUGCUGUCCUGGUUUUACAUCACAGUGACCCUGUGGAACGCAGCCCUUUCCCUUGGUUUCCCCUAAGAAAGCUGCUCCUACCAACCUGUGUGAAAGCUUGUGAAACAGACUCUCCUGAAGGCACAAGGAAGCUACGGAGGGGAUUACAUCCGAGCAGAACAACCGACUUCAGAUCCUGAAGCAGACUUCCUUGUUUGUAAGGGUUUGUUGGCCUCUCGAUAAUGUGGCUUGUCAUCUUCCUUCUCCCUCCACAACUAGUGGAGACCAAGAUGCUGAUGUCAAAGGUGUGUUGGAAGAGUUUGAUCAAAAGUACUGCAUUGUGAGUCGGUCAAAGCAAUAUUUCUACAUUAUAACCCUGUUGUGAUUUUUUAAUAUAUGAUUUAAACUAUUAGCCUCUUAAUUGCUCUUUAUAAAUUAAUACAUAUCAUGUGAUUUUAAGUAUGUAUAUGUAAUUAAAACAACGCAUGAACUGUUAUA